Molecule: transfer RNA, 75 nt
Filed under: Ovis aries (sheep)
Lineage: Eukaryota; Metazoa; Chordata; Mammalia; Artiodactyla; Bovidae
Rfam family: tRNA
About the family: Transfer RNA (tRNA) molecules are approximately 80 nucleotides in length. Their secondary structure includes four short double-helical elements and three loops (D, anti-codon, and T loops).
Source: Rfam by way of RNAcentral
UUCCCUGUGGCUCAGAGGUUAAAGAGCGUCUGCCUCCAAUGCGGGACGACCAUGGGUUCGAUCCUGGUUGGGAAG